Molecule: ribosomal RNA, 501 nt
Filed under: uncultured bacterium
Lineage: Bacteria
Description: bacterial SSU rRNA
Rfam family: Bacterial small subunit ribosomal RNA
Source: RNAcentral
UGGAUCGGUGUGCGUUCGAUUAGCUAGUUGGCGGGGGUAACGGCCCACCAAGGCUCCGAUCGAUAGGGGGUGUGAGAGCAUGGCCCCCCACACGGGUACUGAGACACGGACCCGACUCCUACGGGAGGCAGCAGUAAGGAAUAUUGGACAAUGGGCGCAAGCCUGAUCCAGCCAUGCCGCGUGAAGGACGAAGGCGCUCAGCGUUGUAAACUUCUUUUGGAUGGGAACAAUAAUCGAGACUUGUCUUGACUUGAGGGUACCAUCAGAAUAAGCACCGGCUAACUCCGUGCCAGCAGCCGCGGUAAUACGGAGGGUGCAAGCGUUAUCCGGAAUCACUGGGUUUAAAGGUGGCGUAGGCGGUCUAAUAAGUCAGUCGUGAAAUCGCUGGGCUCAACCCAUGCAAUUGCGAUUGAUACUGCUAGACUUGAAUGGGGUUGAGGCUGGCGGAAUGCGACAUGUAGCGGUGAAGUAGCUUAGAUAUGUCGCAGAACACCGAUUGCG